Molecule: ribosomal RNA, 873 nt
Filed under: uncultured archaeon
Lineage: Archaea
Description: bacterial SSU rRNA
Rfam family: Archaeal small subunit ribosomal RNA
Source: RNAcentral
CUGGUUGAUCCUGCCAGAGGUUACUGCUAUCGAGGUUCGACUAAGCCAUGCGAGUCGAAUGUAGCAAUACAUGGCGUACUGCUCAGUAACACGUGGACAACCUGCCCUUAGGUCGGGUAUAAACCCGGGAAACUGGGUAUAAUCCCCGAUAGAUCUCGGCUGCUGGAAUGCAUCGAGAUUGAAAGCUCCGGCGCCUAAGGAUGGGUCUGCGGCCUAUCAGGUAGUAGUGGGUGUAGCGUACCUACUAGCCUACGACGGGUACGGGUUGUGAGAGCAAGAGCCCGGAGAUGGAUUCUGAGACACGAAUCCAGGCCCUACGGGGUGCAGCAGGCGCGAAAACUUUACAAUGCUGGCAACAGCGAUAAGGGAACCUCGAGUGCCAGGUUACAAAUCUGGCUGUCGAGAUGCCUAACAAGCAUUUCAUAGCAAGGGCCGGGCAAGACCGGUGCCAGCCGCCGCGAUAACACCGGCGGCUCGAGUGGUAACCGCUAUUAUUGGGUCUAAAGGGUCUGUAGCCGGCCGGAUAAGUCUCUUGAGAAAUCUGGCAGCUUAACUGUCAGGCUUUCAGGAGAUACUGUCUGGCUCGAGGCCGGCAGAGGUGAGAGGUACUUCAGGGGUAGGGGUGAAAUCUUGUAAUCCUUGAAGGACCACCAGUGGCGAAGGCGUCUCACCAGAACGGACCUGACGGCAAGGGACGAAAGCUAGGGGCACGAACCGUAUUACAUACCCGGGUAGUCCUAGACGUAAACGAUACUCGCUAGGUGUCGGCCACGGUGCGACCGUUGUCGGUGCCGUAGGGAAACCGUGAAGCGAGCCACCUGGGAAGUACGGCCGCAAGGCUGAAACUUAAAGGAAUUGGCGGGGGAGCACCAC